GGGACCCCAGCACGCACGGGAAGGGUCGUGGGGUCGCUCACAAGGGGCUCAGGGCAUCCGAAGCUUGGGACCUGUGAGGAAUUGACCAUGGCUGGAUGCCGGGUGCUUAUCACAGGCACUGUAUCACUGCACUCGUCAGCUGGACUGGGGAGAGAAAAUAUAACUACAGGCUCGUGGGACGAGGAACUUUCAGCACUGAUAUGUGACUUUGGAGGAGUCUUUGUCUAGUCAUGUUUUCAUUUUCAUUCCUUGAUGAUUUGCUGCUAAGCCAUUCCAAACCCAAAGCCUAACCAGUUACUUUGAUGAUGCAAAGCCUGAUCCUGCAUAUGGAAAAACUCCACAGACAUCACUGAGAAGUACAACAUGACGAAGGUUGAGUAGUGUUGCCAGAAGCUUGAAGACCUCCCCCAGGGAACACAUCUGGUUUUGUCUGCUUUGGAGAUAAACCAGUCCAGGAGAUAGCCCCAUGUACUGAGGACCACACAGACUCCUUGGCACUGUAUACACAACUUGAAGAACUGUGUUUUAACUGCUCUGUGGAAACCACUGUAAGUUCUCAUGUUGCUGAUACUCAGGAAUCAAAAAUAAAAUCCUGUCUGUUAGUAAUGAAGCUCUUGCAAAAUAAAAAAAAUAUUUUGCUUAAUGAAGGUUAAAUAUUUGCCAUUUCUAACAGCAGUAAAUGUUUUCACCCCAAGCUUCCUAACUGGCUUCCUCUUCUACUCUGAGUCACUUUGUUUUGUCACACUUCAGAAAUAUUUAAGCCUAGAAAAGUCUUUGAAGUUAUUUGUCAACUGUCUUACAAAUGCAGUUUAAAAGGGACUGCAACACAUGGUUGUGUUUUCAACUACAGCUAUCAAUCCAGACAUUCUCUCAACCAGGGAAACCUUGUGGAGUUUUUCAUCUUAAGAAAAUAUGAUCAGCUUCAAAGAGUAGCAGGAUGCUAUGUGGUACAAAAAUGACACUAAGAAUGACUUUGAAGUCUCUUCUUCGUAAGUAGUCCCCAUGGUUUCAAUGCAAGUUUUUGCCAAGUAAGAAUCUAAAUCCUGUAUGAAAGAGAGUGAUAUAAGUUCUGUUUUGUAUAAAUUGCACCCUGUAUUUCAGCAUAAAGUUUAAAUGCCUGUAAUUUGAUUACCUAGUGUUUCAUGUUCAGGAAUAUGAUCUUUCUGCUUGGAAGGAUAAAAUUCUGAAAUAUGAAAAGAGAUAAAAAAGUGGGUUGAAAGCUUAUGCCUGUCUUGUUUGAAUGAACAGCUUCUGGUCAGACAAACUCACAUUACUGC
Long non-coding RNA from Chiroxiphia lanceolata (lance-tailed manakin), 1277 nucleotides. RefSeq lists it as uncharacterized. The transcript has 3 exons. NCBI's taxonomy places the organism in Eukaryota, Metazoa, Chordata, Aves, Passeriformes, Pipridae. The record is from RefSeq and is a predicted model, not a curated record.